Molecule: unclassified non-coding RNA, 980 nt
Filed under: Podila verticillata
Lineage: Eukaryota; Fungi; Mortierellomycota; Mortierellomycetes; Mortierellales; Mortierellaceae
Description: Mortierella verticillata ribonuclease P RNA
Source: RNAcentral
GAACUUAGGAAUAUUAAAGGAAAGUCCAGAAUACUAAAACUAAGAAAAAAAACUAACUAAGUUAAGUCUUUAAAACAAUAAUUAUCUCCUAAAGAUUAGAAAUAAUAUAAAACUAUUUUAAAUUAUUAUGCCUCUCCCCAAGCUUGGGGAGAAUAUUUAUCACGUAUUUAUUAUAAUUAUAACAUUUAUUCUCGAAAUUGAUUAAAAAUAUAUUUUUCCUAGCCCCGAAGGGCUAGCUAAAUUUAUAUUUUAAUCAACUUUGUAUUAUCCUAUAAGAGAAAAAGUUUAUUCAUUUUUUAGAAAAAGAGUUUUCCCAUAAAGGAGAAUGCAUUCUCAGGAAAGCUAAAACGUUUUAUUUUUCUUAGUUUACCCGGCCGGAUUUUUUUUUUGAUUAUCCGGCUAGCAUCUUAUAAUAGGAAAGUGUUUUUUUAAUAUUAUUCAUAAUUCUUUAAACUUAUGAUAAAUUUAAUAUACCUUUCCUGAACAGGGAUAAUAUAAUAUUUAAAUAUAUCAUUAAAAAAUUGAGGUACUUUUAAAGAAAUCAAAUCUUUUUACUGUUUGUACCCCCGGUGGUCCGAGUACUAUUUUUUUUUUAAGAUUAACAUAAAUUCUAUUCGGACCUUCCCGGGGUCUUUUAAAGUCUAAAGAAUGUUAAUAUAAGACCUAUUAUAGUUUAGCUCUUUAAGAGUAAGAUGAAUUCCCCGAGUAAUUGGAUAUAACUUAAUUAAAAAUAUAAUAUGAGCUAAAUAUUUUCAAAAGCUUAAUGUAAUUCAUUUUUAUUAUUAAGUAUGUUAUGUCAUAAUUCUUAUUAAUUCUAUAAUAAGACUAUCCCUCAAAAAGUUACUUUUCUCUUUUUGUCUCCCGCAAGUCUGCGGAAGGCCGAAGAAUAAAGAGGGAAAAAUUUAUAUGUCUCCCACAAAAGGGGAGAACGAUAAAUAAUUUGUACUGAAUCUGGCUUAUAAUAAUCUAAGAAACUCCCC